AUUGAACGCUGGCGGCAUGCCUUACACAUGCAAGUCGAACGGCAGCACGGGAGCAAUCCUGGUGGCGAGUGGCGAACGGGUGAGUAAUAUAUCGGAACGUGCCCAGUCGUGGGGGAUAACGCAGCGAAAGCUGUGCUAAUACCGCAUACGAUCUACGGAUGAAAGCGGGGGAUCGCAAGACCUCGCGCGAUUGGAGCGGCCGAUAUCAGAUUAGCUAGGUGGUGGGGUAAAAGCCCACCAAGGCGACGAUCUGUAGCUGGUCUGAGAGGACGACCAGACACACUGGAACUGAGACACGGUCCAGACUACCACGGGAGGCAGCAGUGGGGAAUUUUGGACAAUGGGCGCAAGCCUGAUCCAGCAAUGCCGCGUGCAGGAUGAAGGCCUUCGGGUUGUAAACUGCUUUUGUACGGAACGAAACGGCUCUUUCUAAUAAAGAGGGCUAAUGACGGUACCGUAAGAAUAAGCACCGGCUAACUACGUGCCAGCCGCCGCAGUAA
This 500-nucleotide ribosomal RNA is filed under the name uncultured bacterium. RNAcentral describes it as "partial 16S ribosomal RNA". It matches the Rfam family "Bacterial small subunit ribosomal RNA", at positions 30 to 523 of the family's 1533-position model. The record is from RNAcentral.